RNAcentral lists this ribosomal RNA (496 nucleotides) under uncultured bacterium. RNAcentral's name for it is "partial 16S ribosomal RNA". It matches the Rfam family "Bacterial small subunit ribosomal RNA", at positions 28 to 507 of the family's 1533-position model. The record is from RNAcentral.
GAUGAACGCUGGCGGCGUGCCUAAUACAUGCAAGUCGAGCGAACAGACGAGGAGCUUGCUCCUCUGACGUUAGCGGCGGACGGGUGAGUAACACGUGGAUAACCUACCUAUAAGACUGGGAUAACUUCGGGAAACCGGAGCUAAUACCGGAUAAUAUAUUGAACCGCAUGGUUCAAUAGUGAAAGACGGUUUUGCUGUCACUUAUAGAUGGAUCCGCGCCGCAUUAGCUAGUUGGUAAGGUAACGGCUUACCAAGGCGACGAUGCGUAGCCGACCUGAGAGGGUGAUCGGCCACACUGGAACUGAGACACGGUCCAGACUCCUACGGGAGGCAGCAGUAGGGAAUCUUCCGCAAUGGGCGAAAGCCUGACGGAGCAACGCCGCGUGAGUGAUGAAGGUCUUCGGAUCGUAAAACUCUGUUAUUAGGGAAGAACAAAUGUGUAAGUACUAUGCACGUCUUGACGGUACCUAAUCAGAAAGCCACGGCUAACUACGUG